ACAAAAUGUCGAUGUCAGUUGAAGUUCGAAGCGGCAAAAUGAUCAUACAGUUAAUGACAGAUUUACUGAGGUGCAGAAUGUGGCAAUUGGUAGUUGUAAAUCUGAACGGUGGAGUUGUUGAUCUCAAACUGUUUGCUGUAUAGCGGAGGUAUGACACCUAUGCCCUAGGACCAUAGGCAUGUGUAUGUUUGACCGGACAUUGGAACUUUGCUGAUACAUGUUCAUCGAUCACAAAUGUAUUCUACAUGUAUAUUCAUGAAAAAAAUUCAAAGAUGAAAAUCAGAAGAUGAGCAAGUUUUUGUGUGUCCGUUAAUGUUAAAAAUUGUGUACACAUGAUUUAAGUCUCGUCAAGUGUGGAAUAGACCCAAUCUCAUGUUUAAAAUACAUAUAUUGAAAUGACCAGAUUUAAUUGAUGAUGAUACAUUAUAUAAGAACAAUGAAGUGAAAGAUUCGCCGAUGAAAUCACAGUCGAGGUGGACAAAUGUCAAUUUUUACAACAUGAUUUUAAUUUAAAUCUUGGAGAUACUUUAGUCUUCCUUUGUUAACAGAUUUUUUUAUCUUUCGGAAGAUGUGUCAUUUGUACAAUAUAAAAUUACAAGGCUGUGAAUAAGACUAUUCAAAUGGAAGGAAAGGAGCUGAUUUGUUUCGUUAGUGGAUGAAUAUGGCAAAGUGCAAUGAUAUAAAUAAAGAAGUUUCAUCCCUUGUGUAGUGCUAGCUGAUUCAAGAUCUACAUACAUGUACAAUGUUACUGGUUGAUAUGUACAAUGAUAAAGUCAAUUCAUACAUGUACUUGUGUGUCAAUUGUUUUUUCAUGUUUAAAAAAGGGAAGAAGCUCGAGGUACUGAGGACAGUAAAGGAUUGUUUAAUACUGCUUAUAUAUUUAUUUUAUAUAUUUUUGAAAACAUACGUCUAAAAAUAUUAACUCCAUAUUUAGUCUGUUUUUUUGUGGACUUGCUGUUCGCGUCAUCUACAAUAUUCUCCUUCUCUUCUGUAUUGAUAACAGGAAACCUUCCAUUUGAUAUAAUAUUAACAUCCUCCAAUUCAGGUUCUUCAAUCUGGUUUGUCUCAUUUUGUGAUUCUACAAGUUCUAGGGCUUGCAAUAAAUCCUCAUCUUCA
This is a long non-coding RNA of Mytilus trossulus (common blue mussel), 1116 nucleotides long. RefSeq lists it as uncharacterized. The record is from RefSeq and is a predicted model, not a curated record. The transcript is spliced from 2 exons. Lineage: Eukaryota; Metazoa; Mollusca; Bivalvia; Mytilida; Mytilidae.